CACUCCUGCGGGAGGCAGCAGUGGGGAAUAUUGCACAAUGGGCGCAAGCCUGAUGCAGCCAUGCCGCGUGUAUGAAGAAGGCCUUCGGGUUGUAAAGUACUUUCAGCGGGGAGGAAGGCGAUAAGGUUAAUAACCUUGUCGAUUGACGUUACCCGCAGCAGAAGCACCGGCUAACUCCGUGCCAGCAGCCGCGGUAAUACGGAGGGUGCAAGCGUUAAUCGGAAUUACUGGGCGUAAAGCGCACGCAGGCGGUCUGUCAAGUCGGAUGUGAAAUCCCCGGGCUCAACCUGGGAACUGCAUUCGAAACUGGCAGGCUAGAGUCUUGUAGAGGGGGGUAGAAUUCCAGGUGUAGCGGUGAAAUGCGUAGAGAUCUGGAGGAAUACCGGUGGCGAAGGCGGCCCCCUGGACAAAGACUGACGCUCAGGUGCGAAAGCGUGGGGAGCAAACAGGAUUAGAAACCCCUGUAGUCCCAU
RNAcentral lists this ribosomal RNA (473 nucleotides) under uncultured organism. RNAcentral's name for it is "partial 16S ribosomal RNA". It matches the Rfam family "Bacterial small subunit ribosomal RNA", at positions 334 to 798 of the family's 1533-position model. The record is from RNAcentral.